This 253-nucleotide ribosomal RNA is filed under the name uncultured bacterium. RNAcentral's name for it is "partial 16S ribosomal RNA". It matches the Rfam family "Bacterial small subunit ribosomal RNA", at positions 524 to 776 of the family's 1533-position model. The record is from RNAcentral.
UACGUAGGGUGCGAGCGUUAAUCGGAAUUACUGGGCGUAAAGCGUGCGCAGGCGGUUUUGUAAGCCAGAUGUGAAAUCCCCGGGCUUAACCUGGGAAUGGCAUUUGGGACUGCAAGGCUGGAGUGCGGCAGAGGAGACUGGAAUUCCUGGUGUAGCAGUGAAAUGCGUAGAUAUCAGGAGGAACACCGAUGGCGAAGGCAGGUCUCUGGGCUGAAACUGACGCUCAUGCACGAAAGCGUGGGGAGCAAACAGG